CCUACGGGUGGCAGCAGUGGGGAAUAUUGGUCAAUGGGCGCAAGCCUGACCCAGCAACGCCGCGUGAAGGAAGAAGGCCCUCGGGUUGUAAACUUCCUUUAUCAGGGACGAAGCAAGUGACGGUACCUGAUGAAUAAGCCACGGCUAACUACGUGCCAGCAGCGGCGGUAAUACGUAGGUGGCAAGCGUUAUCCGGAUUUACUGGGUGUAAAGGGUGUGUAGGCGGGAAAGCAAGUCAGAUGUGAAAUCCAUGGGCUCAACCUGUUGCCUGCAUUUGAAACUGUUUUUCUUGAGUACUGGAGAGGCAGACGGAAUUCGUAGUGUAGCGGUGAAAUGCGUAGAUAUUAGGAAGAACACCAGUGGCGAAGGCGGUCCGCUGGACAGCAACUGACGCUGAGGCGCGAAAGCGUGGGGAACAAACAGGAUUAGAUACCCUGGUAGUC
RNAcentral lists this ribosomal RNA (443 nucleotides) under uncultured bacterium. RNAcentral describes it as "partial 16S ribosomal RNA". It matches the Rfam family "Bacterial small subunit ribosomal RNA", at positions 338 to 795 of the family's 1533-position model. The record is from RNAcentral.